GGGAAGUCCAGCUAUCAGGGAAGCUUCCCCAAUCAGGGAAGCAUGAAGUUUUAACCACUGGACCGUCAGAGAAGUCCCUCUUUUUACAUUUUUUAAUGUAGCUACCAGAAAAUUGAAAAUUAAGUGCAUGGCUCACAUUUUUGCCUUGCGUUACAUUUCUUUUGAACAGUGAGCGCUGUUCUGGAACCUCACCACUUAGUGUUGUCCCUGCUCAAGCAGCAUCAGCAUUUCCAGAAAGCUCGUGAGGAAUAGACUCUCAGAGCUCAGCCCAGACCUAAAGAAUCAGAAUCUUCAUUUUAGUCAGAUUCCUGGGGGAUUCAAGUGCGAGAAGCUGCCCUCAGAGGACUUCCUGUAGGUUCAGCUGAUCCGUCUGCUUCCAGGAAGGCAUGCUGGUGUGGCCACUGCACGGUGACAUACUGGACAGCAAGUAAGAGACUUGUAGAGUGUUGCUGCAGAUUCUGUUUUUUUUUUCUUCCUUCCCUGCCUCCCAGCAUGGACCCUUGGGUUGAGGUGAACUUCCACAGGGAGUCUAUGGCCUGAUAAUAUUUUCCAAGGUGGGCUGGGAGCUGGGGUGGGGAAAAGCAGGUGUGUCACCAUAGAAGAGGGAAGCCUCAGACAAGAAGACAAAGUCCUUGUUUGGUCUCAAGUUAAUGGUUAACCUACUAUGGAGAAAGAAGCAGUUGAGACGGUGGACUUUAGUUUCUGGCUGUUUCUCUACAAACUUCUGUGGCCUUGGUUUAAUUAUCCCCCUGUCUUGCAGAACAGCAAAUGCUGGGAUAGACCGGACCCUUUGACACCCAAGUCUUGUGAACUAGGGGACAGAGCCAAGAAGAGUGAGGAGAUUUUUCAAUAUUCAGAGAAAAGAAUGAGGAGACCUGAGGGAGAACUAAACAUGUAUCUUCUGCUGUGCAUGGAAAUGAUGAUUUUCAUAAAGAAAAUAAAUGUACAUGCAAUAAAGCCCAGAGAUAUAAAUGCAGAAAUGAAUAACAAGCUCAAGGCCACAAAGAUGACAAAUCACCAGCUGAUUACGCUGUGGGCUCUCUGUAUGUACAGCAAGCUCUUUGAGAACAGAGAAGACCCCCCAGAUUGAAGUGAAGGGGAAGCUUCUUAGAGGAAGGAGGAGAGGCUGGAAAUUCUUUUUAUGAACAUAUGGAGUAUGGCCUUUUCCAGGGAAGGCAAUGGAGUCCCCUAAAGACGCUGAAGACUGGGGAAUAACGAUGAGAAGUUCAGCGGCCCCUGAAGCUGUGGUGAGGUCCUAGGAGGACAGGACCCUAAACAAGAGCCCAUUACCAGCACUGGAUUCAAU
Molecule: long non-coding RNA, 1306 nt
Organism: Bos indicus x Bos taurus (hybrid cattle)
Lineage: Eukaryota; Metazoa; Chordata; Mammalia; Artiodactyla; Bovidae
Source: Ensembl